CUACGGGGCGCAGCAGUGGGGAAUAUUGCACAAUGGGCGCAAGCCUGAUGCAGCCAUGCCGCGUGUAUGAAGAAGGCCUUCGGGUUGUAAAGUACUUUCAGCGGGGAGGAGGGGAGUAAAGUUAAUACCUUUGCUCAUUGACGUUACCCGCAGAAGAAGCACCGGCUAAAUCCGUGCCAGCAGCCGCGGUAAUACGGAGGGUGCAAGCGUUAAUCGGAAUUACUGGGCGUAAAGCGCACGCAGGCGGUUUGUUAAGUCAGAUGUGAAAUCCCCGGGCUCAACCUGGGAACUGCAUCUGAUACUGGCAAGCUUGAGUCUCGUAGAGGGGGGUAGAAUUCCAGGUGUAGCGGUGAGAUGCGUAGAGAUCUGGAGGAAUACCGGUGGCGAAGGCGGCCCCCUGGACGAAGACUGACGCUCAGGUGCGAAAGCGUGGGGAACAAACAGGAUUAGAUACCCCUGUAGUC
This 464-nucleotide ribosomal RNA is filed under the name uncultured bacterium. Its description in RNAcentral is "partial 16S ribosomal RNA". It matches the Rfam family "Bacterial small subunit ribosomal RNA", at positions 339 to 795 of the family's 1533-position model. The record is from RNAcentral.